RNAcentral lists this ribosomal RNA (624 nucleotides) under Geranium carolinianum. Its description in RNAcentral is "eukaryotic LSU rRNA". The stretch from base 229 to 384 matches the Rfam family "5.8S ribosomal RNA". Lineage: Eukaryota; Viridiplantae; Streptophyta; Magnoliopsida; Geraniales; Geraniaceae. The record is from RNAcentral.
ACCCUGCACAGCAGAACGACCCGCGAACUCGUUAACAAACCGCGGGGAGCGGGUGGCGCUUGCGCCCCCCGCAACCCGAUGUCGGGGGCUUGGGCGGAAGCCCACGCUGCCCGACAAAAAAGUACCCCCGGCGCGGUCCGCGCCAAGGAAUCGAAACGAAGCAACGUGUGCCGUCUGCCCCGUUCGCGGGAAGUGGACGGCAACACGGUCUUCCAAUGUAUACUAAACGACUCUCGGCAACGGAUAUCUCGGCUCUCGCAUCGAUGAAGAACGUAGCGAAAUGCGAUACUUGGUGUGAAUUGCAGAAUCCCGUGAACCAUCGAGUUUUUGAACGCAAGUUGCGCCCGAAGCCAUUAGGCCGAGGGCACGCCUGCCUGGGCGUCACGCGCUCCGUCGCCCCGCAACCCCGAACCCCGAAACGGGCCAGGGCGCUUGUGGUGCGGACAUUGGUCUCCCGUGUGCCUUGCUCGCGGCUGGCCUAAAAUUGAGUCCCGGACGCUCUGUUCUGCGGCCGACGGUGGUUGAGAAGCCCUCGAAAACGUGCCGCUGCAGUGCUGCCCGAUGCGGACCCCUUGACCCUUGCGCUACCUCUCCCAUCUGGGUGAGGGAGCUCCAUCUGCGACC